Molecule: unclassified non-coding RNA, 795 nt
Filed under: Hevea brasiliensis (rubber tree)
Lineage: Eukaryota; Viridiplantae; Streptophyta; Magnoliopsida; Malpighiales; Euphorbiaceae
Source: RNAcentral
AAACUGCAUCAUCUUCACCUCACCAUGGCCUCAGUAACUUCCAUCCUUAAAUUCUUCUCACUACUAGCCGCCUCAUUUGCCAUUGUUCAAAUGGCAAUGGCAGGAGACCCAGACAUAGUUUCUGAUUUCUUAGUCCCAUCAAAUAUGACCGGAGUUGAUGGUGCAUUCUUCACAUUCACUGGCAUGCGUUCCCUUAUUGGUGCUGAACCACCUACUGCUUUCAAGGUCUUGAAAGCGAGCAUGGCAGAAUUCCCUACUCUCAAUGGACAGAGUGUUUCUUAUGCUGUCCUUCAGUACCCUGCCGGCGCUCCAAACCCACCUCACACUCAUCCUCGCUCAGCUGAGCUACUUUUCCUCGUCUAUGGAUCUCUCCAAGUAGGAUUCAUCGACACCACUAACAAGCUCUUCGCUCAGACACUGCAAACUGGUGAUUUGUUUGUAUUUCCUAAGGGACUUGUUCACUUCCAAUACAAUGCAGAUGCACAGAAACCUGCUUUUGCAAUUUCAGCUUUUGGAAGUGCAAAUGCAGGGACUAUAUCAGUUCCCAACACCAUAUUCACCACUGGCAUUGACGAUAACAUCCUGGCUAAAUCCUUCAAGACUGAUGUUGCCACCAUUCAGGCUAUCAAGGCUGGUCUUGCACCCAAGUCCUGAAUGUAGGCAUCCCCAUCAUUACUUUCUUUCAUACCAUUCGUUUGUUGUCAUGUUAUUUCAGCUACUGUUAUUCCUCUUUUGUUCAGUAUCCUUGAUUGAGUGUUGAAUAACUUGCCUAAGAACUCACAAGGAUAGAAAUUG